RNAcentral lists this transfer RNA (74 nucleotides) under Acropora cervicornis. Its description in RNAcentral is "tRNA-OTHER". The record is from RNAcentral. Lineage: Eukaryota; Metazoa; Cnidaria; Anthozoa; Scleractinia; Acroporidae.
GGCCUGAUUGCUCAACUAGUAGAGCACUGCAACAGCAUCACAGAGGUCAGGGAUUCGAUUCCCUGUUCGGGCCU